UGAAGGUACUAAAAAGAACCAAAUUACCAGGACGCGCAUUGCUUUGUGAAUUAUCACAGCUGAUAUGAACUGACUUUUUGGUAAUUCUUGGCCUAGAAGAAACCUUCCUCAUUCCCACUGCUCUGUAGUGUGGACAGGUGAAGGUUCUACCACACGAUGCUUUCUCAAACAAUUGGAGCUGCCCACCGUGUGAAUAACACAACUGUCAGUGGGCUUGGAUCCUCCUGACCAUUUAAGUGGAUUGUUUAAGCCGUUCCAGUUUUGGGCUCAGCAUCACUGUGGAUCACGUGUUAACCCUGGCAAAGUCUCCCAUAAUGCCAGAAGAGAAUCUGGAAAAAAUUGUGAGGAUAAUUUCUCAAAGUAAAUUCUCUUGUCUGAGGAGAAUUCUUUCAUGGAAGGAGGCAGAGUGAAUGAUUGAAGCACAUUACUUGGUUAAAAAAAUUACUUUCACAUUACAUGAAACUGCAGCACAUUAAAUCACCAGCUUCAAAAAUCUACAAAUUCCAGGUCAGUAGAGUCA
This is a non-coding RNA of Microcebus murinus (gray mouse lemur), 520 nucleotides long. NCBI's taxonomy places the organism in Eukaryota, Metazoa, Chordata, Mammalia, Primates, Cheirogaleidae. The record is from RefSeq and is a predicted model, not a curated record.